UGGGUAGAAAACACAAAAAGACCAAUGGAGCAUAAUUUACAACAAAUCCUUUUAUUAAUAAUAAAACCUUUACCAUUCACUUACCUCGAUAGAAUCCAUAAAACAGUGUACGAAAGCAAUAACAUCAUCAUCAUCAUGAAAUCAUAUAUAAACUGUAUAACAUAAUACUUAUCAAGCUUUUCGUAAUUCAAUCGUUACACAACAUAUUUUCCUCAUUUACCAGCCCACUAGUAUCCAUGGGGAUCCAUAAGGGUCCCGCUACCCGUUAACCCUUAACACUUGAAAUCAUUUUUCCAGGGCCGUCCCCAUACCCCGUCCGGUAUGGGCGCCAAAUUUAUAGACCUCAUUACCCCGUCCGGUAUGAGGGUGAAACGGGCCGUCCCCAUACCCCGUCCGGUAUGGGCGCCAAAACACAUAAGAUCUCCAUACCCCGUCCGGUAUGGGAGACCACAAUCCCGGU
RNAcentral lists this long non-coding RNA (460 nucleotides) under Carica papaya (papaya). RNAcentral's name for it is "long non-coding RNA (CPAP_LNC010504)". The record is from RNAcentral. Lineage: Eukaryota; Viridiplantae; Streptophyta; Magnoliopsida; Brassicales; Caricaceae.